This 468-nucleotide ribosomal RNA is filed under the name uncultured bacterium. RNAcentral's name for it is "partial 16S ribosomal RNA". It matches the Rfam family "Bacterial small subunit ribosomal RNA", at positions 28 to 507 of the family's 1533-position model. The record is from RNAcentral.
GACGAACGCUGGCGGCGUGCUUAACACAUGCAAGUCGAACGGAAAGGCCCUGCUUUUGUGGGGUGCCCGAGUGGCGAACGGGUGCGUAACACGUGAGUAACCUGCCCUUGACUUUGGGAUAACUUCAGGAAACUGGGGCUAAUACCGGAUAGGAGCUCCUGCUGCAUGGUGGGGGUUGGAAAGUCUCGGCGGUUGGGGAUGGACUCGCGGCUUAUCAGCUUGUUGGUUGGGUAGUGGCUUACCAAGGCUUUGACGGGUAGCCGGCCUGAGAGGGUGACCGGCCACAUUGGGACUGAGAUACGGCCCAGACGCCUACGGGAGGCAGCAGUGGGGAAUAUUGCACAAUGGGCGGAAGCCUGAUGCAGCAACGCCGCGUGCGGGAUGACGGCCUUCGGGUUGUAAACCGCUGUCGCCUGUGACGAAGCGUGAGUGACGGUAAUGGGUAAAGAAGCACCGGCUAACUACGUG